GGGUUGUGAGGUUAAGCGACUAAGCGUACACGGUGGAUGCCCUGGCAGUCAGAGGCGAUGAAGGACGUGCUAAUCUGCGAUAAGCGUCGGUAAGGUGAUAUGAACCGUUAUAGCCGGCGAUUUCCGAAUGGGGAAACCCAGUGUGAUCCGUCACACUAUCAUUACGUGAAUACAUAGCGUAAUGAAGCGAACCGGGGGAACUGAAACAUCUAAGUACCCCGAGGAAAAGAAAUCAACCGAGAUUCCCCCAGUAGCGGCGAGCGAACGGGGAGCAGCCCAGAACCUGAAUCAGUUUGUGUGUUAGUGGAAGCGUCUGGAAAGUCGCAGGGUACAGGGUGAUACUCCCGUACACUAAAAUGCACAGGCUGUGAGUUCGAAGAGUAGGGCGGGACACGUGGUAUCCUGUCUGAAUAUGGGGGGACCAUCCUCCAAGGCUAAAUACUCCUGACUGACCGAUAGUGAACCAGUACCGUGAGGGAAAGGCGAAAAGAACCCCGGCGAGGGGAGUGAAAAAGAACCUGAAACCGUGUACGUACAAGCAGUGGGAGCCUCUUUAUGGGGUGACUGCGUACCUUUUGUAUAAUGGGUCAGCGACUUAUAUUCUGUAGCAAGGUUAACCGUAUAGGGGAGCCGCAGGGAAACCGAGUCUUAACUGGGCGUUAAGUUGCAGGGUAUAGACCCGAAACCCGGUGAUCUAGCCAUGGGCAGGUUGAAGGUUGGGUAACACUAACUGGAGGACCGAACCGACUAAUGUUGAAAAAUUAGCGGAUGACUUGUGGCUGGGGGUGAAAGGCCAAUCAAACCGGGAGAUAGCUGGUUCUCCCCGAAAGCUAUUUAGGUAGCGCCUCGUGAACUCAUCUUCGGGGGUAGAGCACUGUUUCGGCUAGGGGGCCAUCCCGGCUUACCAACCCGAUGCAAACUACGAAUACCGAAGAAUGUUAUCACGGGAGACACACGGCGGGUGCUAACGUCCGUCGUGAAGAGGGAAACAACCCAGACCGCCAGCUAAGGUCCCAAAGUCAUGGUUAAGUGGGAAACGAUGUGGGAAGGCACAGACAGCCAGGAUGUUGGCUUAGAAGCAGCCAUCAUUUAAAGAAAGCGUAAUAGCUCACUGGUCGAGUCGGCCUGCGCGGAAGAUGUAACGGGGCUAAACCAUGCACCGAAGCUGCGGCAGCGACACUAUGUGUUGUUGGGUAGGGGAGCGUUCUGUAAGCCGUUGAAGGUGAACUGUGAGGUUUGCUGGAGGUAUCAGAAGUGCGAAUGCUGACAUAAGUAACGAUAAAGCGGGUGAAAAGCCCGCUCGCCGGAAGACCAAGGGUUCCUGUCCAACGUUAAUCGGGGCAGGGUGAGUCGACCCCUAAGGCGAGGCCGAAAGGCGUAGUCGAUGGGAAACAGGUUAAUAUUCCUGUACUCGGUGUUACUGCGAAGGGGGGACGGAGAAGGCUAUGUUAGCCGGGCGACGGUUGUCCCGGUUUAAGCAUGUAGGCGGAGAGUUUAGGUAAAUCCGGACUCUUAUUAACGCUGAGGUGUGAUGACGAGGCACUACGGUGCUGAAGUAACAAAUGCCCUGCUUCCAGGAAAAGCCUCUAAGCAUCAGGUAACAUUGAAUCGUACCCCAAACCGACACAGGUGGUCAGGUAGAGAAUACCAAGGCGCUUGAGAGAACUCGGGUGAAGGAACUAGGCAAAAUGGUGCCGUAACUUCGGGAGAAGGCACGCUGUCGUUAGGUGAAACCCCUCGCGGGUGGAGCUGAAGGCAGUCGAAGAUACCAGCUGGCUGCAACUGUUUAUUAAAAACACAGCACUGUGCAAACACGAAAGUGGACGUAUACGGUGUGACGCCUGCCCGGUGCCGGAAGGUUAAUUGAUGGGGUUAUCCGCAAGGAGAAGCUCUUGAUCGAAGCCCCGGUAAACGGCGGCCGUAACUAUAACGGUCCUAAGGUAGCGAAAUUCCUUGUCGGGUAAGUUCCGACCUGCACGAAUGGCGUAAUGAUGGCCAGGCUGUCUCCACCCGAGACUCAGUGAAAUUGAAAUCGCUGUGAAGAUGCAGUGUACCCGCGGCAAGACGGAAAGACCCCGUGAACCUUUACUAUAGCUUGACACUGAACAUUGAGCCUUGAUGUGUAGGAUAGGUGGGAGGCUUUGAAGCGUGGACGCCAGUCUGCGUGGAGCCAACCUUGAAAUACCACCCUUUAAUGUUUGAUGUUCUAACGUAGACCCGUGAUCCGGGUUGCGGACAGUGUCUGGUGGGUAGUUUGACUGGGGCGGUCUCCUCCUAAAGCGUAACGGAGGAGCACGAAGGUUAGCUAAUCACGGUCGGACAUCGUGAGGUUAGUGCAAAGGCAUAAGCUAGCUUGACUGCGAGAGUGACGGCUCGAGCAGGUGCGAAAGCAGGUCUUAGUGAUCCGGUGGUUCUGAAUGGAAGGGCCAUCGCUCAACGGAUAAAAGGUACUCCGGGGAUAACAGGCUGAUACCGCCCAAGAGUUCAUAUCGACGGCGGUGUUUGGCACCUCGAUGUCGGCUCAUCACAUCCUGGGGCUGAAGUAGGUCCCAAGGGUAUGGCUGUUCGCCAUUUAAAGUGGUACGCGAGCUGGGUUUAGAACGUCGUGAGACAGUUCGGUCCCUAUCUGCCGUGGGCGCUGGAGAAUUGAGGGGGGCUGCUCCUAGUACGAGAGGACCGGAGUGGACGCAUCACUGGUGUUCGGGUUGUCAUGCCAAUGGCAUUGCCCGGUAGCUAAAUGCGGAAGAGAUAAGCGCUGAAAGCAUCUAAGCGCGAAACUUGCCCCGAGAUGAGUUCUCCCUGACUCCUUGAGAGUCCUGAAGGAACGUUGAAGACUACGACGUUGAUAGGCUGGGUGUGUAAGCGUAGCGAUACGUUGAGCUAACCAGUACUAAUGAUCCGUGAGGCUUAACCUUACAACACCGAAGGUGUUU
Molecule: ribosomal RNA, 2933 nt
Filed under: Cedecea neteri
Lineage: Bacteria; Pseudomonadati; Pseudomonadota; Gammaproteobacteria; Enterobacterales; Enterobacteriaceae
Description: bacterial LSU rRNA
Rfam family: Bacterial large subunit ribosomal RNA
Source: RNAcentral